This 254-nucleotide ribosomal RNA is filed under the name uncultured bacterium. RNAcentral describes it as "partial 16S ribosomal RNA". It matches the Rfam family "Bacterial small subunit ribosomal RNA", at positions 524 to 776 of the family's 1533-position model. The record is from RNAcentral.
GACGUAGGGCGCGAGCGUUGUCCGGAUUUAUUGGGCGUAAAGAGCUCGUAGGCGGCUUGUUGCGUCGACCGUGAAAACCCGCGGCUUAACUAUGGGCUUGCGGUCGAUACGGGCACCACUGGAGUUCGGCAGGGGAGACUGGAAUUCCUGGUGUAGCGGUGAAAUGCGCAGAUAUCAGGAGGAACACCGGUGGCGAAGGCGGGUCUCUGGGCCGAUACUGACGCUGAGGAGCGAAAGCGUGGGGAGCGAACAGG